CCUACGGGAGGCAGCAGUGAGGAAUAUUGGUCAAUGGGCGCAAGCCUGAACCAGCCAAGUCGCGUGAGGGAUGACGGUCCUAUGGAUUGUAAACCUCUUUUGUCGGGGAGCAAAGCCCGCCACGUGUGGCGUCAAGGAGAGUACCCGAAGACAAAGCAUCGGCUAACUACGUGCAAGCAGCCACUGUCAUAAGAAGGAUGCGAGCGUUAUCCGGAUUUAUGUGGUUUAAGGGGUGCGUAGGCGGAAGGUUAAUUCAGCGGUCACAUGUCGGUGCUCAACACCGGCCUGCCGUUGAAACUGGUCUUCUUGAGUGAGCGAGAAGUAUGCGGAAUGCGUGGUGUAGAGGUGAAAUGCAUAGAUAUCACGCAGAACUCCGAUUGCGAAGGCAGCAUACCGGCGCUCAACUUACGCUGAGGCACGAAAGCGUGGGGAUCGAACAGGAUUAGAUACCCUUGUAGUC
Molecule: ribosomal RNA, 460 nt
Filed under: uncultured bacterium
Lineage: Bacteria
Description: partial 16S ribosomal RNA
Rfam family: Bacterial small subunit ribosomal RNA
Source: RNAcentral